GUUCUUAUGCAAACCUUCAAACAACAAAGAAUCCAUCCAGACAAACACAUCUACACAAAUAAAUUUCAGCAAACAAGCGACAAAACAACGAGGCAGUGAUUGAAUGUAAAGUGCAGACAAAACCAAACUUCGACCCUUAUCCCCAAUCAACACCCUUCGACCCCGAUUUCACGGUUUCCCUAGAAUCACGAUAACAGGAGGGAAAGAGGCGCGAUUCGACAUUAUUUAAGCAAGUUUAGAUGAUACCAAGAUGACUUACAGGUAGUUAAUCUUUUCGAGUCUUUUCGAUAUGCUUUUCCUUUCUCUUCCUUUCGCCUUCGUCGCCACUGUUAUCGUCGUGGUAAUGGUUUUUUUGGCAAUUCGUGGCUUAGCUAAAGUUUGUUGAGUUUCAGUGUGAAAACUUUUUAGGGCUUUCAGGAAAUAUUGCUCUGUUCUCGUGUUUUUCUUUAGGGGUUUAAAAAAAAUUCCUCUGUCCUUUGUUGUUGUGUUCUUAUGCCUGUUUAUGAAGAAUUUUCAAGUCUUAAAAAAAACUCCUUCCUUUUUUCGAUUUUCUCAUCCCAGAUUAUGUGGGAUUUGAUUUGUUCUUAUUUAAGCCAUUGUUGCAAUGCCUUUUCAGAUGUUCCAAUUAAUCCUCUGGAUUAAGCUUGAACUUAGUAAUUUAGUUAGUUGUUUUUUAGUUUUUUAAGUGCUUUUAAAAAGUGCUUUCUAAAUAAGUUGUUUUUCUCUGCAGGUUAUAGCUCUGAGAUGACCUGAUGGAAUGGAAGGCGGUUGCUCCAAGCUUCAAGACAUCCUGUUUUCGUGACUAAGUCCAAAGUGAUUUCAUCCUAAUUGCUUGGUUUUGGUCAUUAGGAACCUAUUUCCAUCUGUAGCAAUUUUUUCACUGUAAUUACUUAGUUUAGUUUUUUUUUAGACAAAAUGUGUGUUUGGAUUAUUUG
This 935-nucleotide long non-coding RNA is filed under the name Lathyrus oleraceus (garden pea). Its description in RNAcentral is "Pisum sativum (pea) long non-coding RNA (PSAT_LNC022344)". The record is from RNAcentral. Lineage: Eukaryota; Viridiplantae; Streptophyta; Magnoliopsida; Fabales; Fabaceae.